RNAcentral lists this transfer RNA (73 nucleotides) under Camelus bactrianus (Bactrian camel). It matches the Rfam family "tRNA". From Rfam's summary of the family: Transfer RNA (tRNA) molecules are approximately 80 nucleotides in length. Their secondary structure includes four short double-helical elements and three loops (D, anti-codon, and T loops). RNAcentral also lists the same sequence under 2 other names. Lineage: Eukaryota; Metazoa; Chordata; Mammalia; Artiodactyla; Camelidae. The record is from Rfam by way of RNAcentral.
GAGGGUGUAGCUCAAGUGGUAGAGCGCCUGCUUAGCAUGCACAAGGUCCUGGGUUCAAUCCCCAGUACCGCCU